RNAcentral lists this transfer RNA (57 nucleotides) under Dipodomys ordii (Ord's kangaroo rat). It matches the Rfam family "tRNA", at positions 8 to 63 of the family's 71-position model. Rfam says of the family: Transfer RNA (tRNA) molecules are approximately 80 nucleotides in length. The record is from Rfam by way of RNAcentral. Lineage: Eukaryota; Metazoa; Chordata; Mammalia; Rodentia; Heteromyidae.
UAGCUCAGUGGUAGAGCGCUUGUCUUGCAUGCAUGAGGCCCUCGGUUCGAUUCUGCG